GGACUUCGGUCUGGUGGCGAGUGGCGAGCGGGUGAGUAAUGCAUUGGAACGUACCGAGUAGUGGGGGAUAACUAGUCGAAAGAUUAGCUAAUACCGCAUACGCAUUGAGAUGGAAAGCGGGGGAUCUUAGGACCUCGCGCUAUUUGAGCGGCCAAUGUCUGAUUAGCUAGUUGGUGGGGUAAAGGCCUACCAAGGCGACGAUCAGUAGCGGGUCUGAGAGGAUGAUCCGCCACACUGGGACUGAGACACGGCCCAGACUCCUACGGGAGGCAGCAGUGGGGAAUUUUGGACAAUGGGCGAAAGCCUGAUCCAGCCAUGCCGCGUGUCUGAAGAAGGCCUUCGGGUUGUAAAGGACUUUUGUCAGGGAAGAAAAGGUGAUUGCUAAUAUCAGUCGCUGAUGACGGUACCUGAAGAAUAAGCACCGGCUAACUACGUGCCAGCAGCCGCGGUAAUACGUAGGGUGCGAGCGUUAAUCGGAAUUACUGGGCGUAAAGCGAGCGCAGACGGUUUGUUAAGCAGGAUGUGAAAUCCCCGAGCUCAACUUGGGAACGGCGUUCUGAACUGGCAAGCUAGAGUAUGUCAGAGGGGGGUAGAAUUCCACGUGUAGCAGUGAAAUGCGUAGAGAUGUGGAGGAAUACCGAUG
This 643-nucleotide ribosomal RNA is filed under the name uncultured bacterium. Its description in RNAcentral is "bacterial SSU rRNA". It matches the Rfam family "Bacterial small subunit ribosomal RNA", at positions 75 to 714 of the family's 1533-position model. The record is from RNAcentral.